This 31-nucleotide non-coding RNA is filed under the name Rattus norvegicus (Norway rat). The record is from RNAcentral. Lineage: Eukaryota; Metazoa; Chordata; Mammalia; Rodentia; Muridae.
UUACAUGACACAGUGUGCCUGCUUUUGAUGU